UACGAAGGGGGCGAGCGUUGUUCGGAAUUACUGGGCGUAAAGGGCGCGCAGGCGGCUCUUCAAGUCAGGCGUGAAAGCCCCGGGCUUAACCUGGGAAUUGCGCUUGGGACUGGAGGGCUUGAGUACGGGAGAGGAGAGUGGAAUUCCCAGUGUAGAGGUGAAAUUCGUAGAUAUCGGGAGGAACACCAGUGGCGAAGGCGGCGACCUGGACGGACACUGACGCCGAGACGCGAAAGCGUGGGGAGCAAACAGG
This 253-nucleotide ribosomal RNA is filed under the name uncultured bacterium. RNAcentral's name for it is "partial 16S ribosomal RNA". It matches the Rfam family "Bacterial small subunit ribosomal RNA", at positions 524 to 776 of the family's 1533-position model. The record is from RNAcentral.